GAUGAAGAACGCAGUGAAAUGCGAUACGUAAUGUGAAUUGCAGAAUUCAGUGAAUCAUCGAGUCUUUGAACGCACAUUGCGCCCUCUGGUAUUCCGGAGGGCAUGCCUGUCCGAGCGUCAUUGCUGCCCUCAAGCACGGCUUGUGUGUUGGGCCCCGUCCUCCUUCCGGGGGACGGGUCCGAAAGGCAGCGGCGGCACCGCGUCCGGUCCUCAAGCGUAUGGGGCUUUGUCACUCGCUUUGUAGGCCUGGCCGGCGCUUGCCGAUCAACCAAACUUUUUAUCAGGUUGACCUCGGAUCAGGUAGGGAUACCCGCUGAACUUAAGCAUAUCAAUAAGCGGAGGA
Molecule: unclassified non-coding RNA, 343 nt
Filed under: soil metagenome
Description: partial contains 5.8S ribosomal RNA, internal transcribed spacer 2, and large subunit ribosomal RNA
Rfam family: 5.8S ribosomal RNA (bases 1-120)
Source: RNAcentral